Long non-coding RNA from Dreissena polymorpha, 2122 nucleotides. RefSeq lists it as uncharacterized. The record is from RefSeq and is a predicted model, not a curated record. NCBI's taxonomy places the organism in Eukaryota, Metazoa, Mollusca, Bivalvia, Myida, Dreissenidae. The transcript has 4 exons.
GGAACGACGUCUGCCGUUUCAACGCGGAUGCGAACCGUCGCGCUACCGGGAGUUUCUGUUCUGAGAGCGGAUCCGGUAGAUUGUCUAGGGCAGAAGUCAUCCAGCUUUCCCAGUGGCGGGCGAAGUUCCUGAUGUCGCAAAGCAACCUGCAUUUCCUGCAUGGUCGCUGGAAUGAGGACUUCCGUCAAAACCUAAAAUUAUCGAUCAUAAGAGCGUCUUUAAUAAUAUUGGCGUUUCCUUGUCAAUAGUCAACUCCGAGAACAAACAAGCCGUUCCUGUAACGACUGUUGAUCAAUAAGGUAAUUAAACUUAGACACCUGUCUCUAUUUCUACGGCAGACUCUUGAUGGAGUAGAAAAUGAACACGGUCGAGAGAUAACACGAGGAUAUGCCAGAGAUAUCACGAGGAUAUGCCAUCCGAUAAGGACGUCCAAAGCAUUGUAAAAUUGGGACGCGUGUCAUAUUUAAAGUGGAUAGUGGAUUUGUCAAAUAUUUAUGAUUUGAUAUAAAAUGUGUAAAAACGUAUAAUACAUAUAUUUCAAUAUAAAUUAAAAUAGAAGUUAAGAAGAACAAGUGCCAAACAAUGUGAAAUAAGCCAGAUGUUUAUUACUGAAAUCAAACAUGUAUGUAAUGUCGAAUUUGCCAGUAUGUAUAUCAUGCAUGUACGAUGUGAAUCUAAAUUUAGUUUUACGGAUCAUUUUUAGUGUGAGCGUUAGCUCACACUAAUGUUGCAGACCAUGUUUUGCAAAUCAGUAUGUGCUUAGAAGCCUUAGGUAUGGUAUGGAAAGACAACCACUGCCUGUUGCAGCAGACGACAAAUGCUAUAUAGAGCGUCUGCUAGGAAAGAUAACCACCACAUUUGCCUGUUUAAAGUUCACCACUGGUACACUGCAGAGGGUUUAAAUGACUAAUAGUGUUUAAAGGGAUCUUUUCACGCUUUGGUAAAUUGACAAAAUUGAAAAAAGUUGUUUCAGAUUUGCAAAUUUUCGUUUUAGUUAUGAUAUUUGUGAGGAAACAGUAAUACUGAACAUUUACCAUGGUCUAAUAUAGCCAUUAUAUGCAUCUUUUGACGAUUUUAAAACCUAAAAAUUAUAAAGCGUUGCAACGCGAAACGAUUGAAUAAUUUGGAGAGUUCUGUUUUUGUCGUUAAAUUUUGUGAAACUACGAAGAUUGCUUAUAUAAGGUAUAAAAUACGUCAACUUGUAAGGCGACAUUGACAAGUCUACUGUUUAUCAUUGAAAUCUGUACAUAUUGGCUGCUUUCAGGGAAAACGGGGCUUAAUGCAUGUCAAAUAAGAUUAGCCUGUGCAUACUGAUUAGCCUGUGCAAUGCGCACAAGCUCAUCAAGGACGACAUUUUACAAAAGCGAACACCUACAGUGCCUUCAGCGCUUUGAUAAUUUCCUGCAACGAUAUUUAUUGUAACGACACACGAACACUCACUCCGAUCCUAAUAAAAGGACGAAUGCUUCGGUUAUUGUAGGAAAAUGUGUACGAAAUAUAUUCGUCACAAUCGGCUCGGGGCGCUAAUUUGUAUUUGCUGCAUUUUAUGAAAUUCGUUAUCAAUGUAUAAUUUUCUUGCCUAUUUUGUUUAUUGUAACAUAUUUUUUUUAUCAAUAUUACAAUUUAGAACAUGUCAAAAUCGUGCAUACCCAUUUAAACAAACAGAGAAAAUGCGGAGGCGUAGUUUAGUUAGCGUAUUACAGUAAUGCACACGACAUAUGUAUGAUUUACAAUUGCACAUGUAUGUCUCAUGUACAGCUUUGGUAGUGUAAAGUUGUGUACACGGAAUGGGCAUACAUUACAGUUACGAUGGUGUGGCUUAGGUAACGUGCGUGUAUAUGUGCUCGGCAUAUGAAUAUGUAUGCCAAUAAUAGAUUAAGAAUGCACUUGUCGCUUAUACAUAAUAAUUAUAGAUUUUUGUUAGAUGCCGAUCUGGUAAACGAUUCGAUUUUAUGAACAUUUUCUUUCAGCAACACAUGUUUUAAUUACGUAAAAAUAUUUGUAUAAGAAUAUAAUUUAACAACACGAGCCCCGAUACGAUAUAUUUAACAUGUUUUUUUUUCAAAACUUAACUGGCAAAUGUUCGACUUUAACCUUGAUUAAAACACGACAUCCCAUGGUA